Molecule: RNA transcript, 3436 nt
Organism: Puntigrus tetrazona (Sumatra barb)
Lineage: Eukaryota; Metazoa; Chordata; Actinopteri; Cypriniformes; Cyprinidae
Gene name: protein ANTAGONIST OF LIKE HETEROCHROMATIN PROTEIN 1
Exons: 4
Source: RefSeq, a predicted model, not a curated record
UACUUGUUAGGCGGCGCUGCGGCGUGACGUCAUGAGCAGAGACGCAGAAGCAGCAGCAGAAGAAGAAAAAGCGCGAGGAGCGCGUUAGCAGAGACAGCGCUAAUAUUGAUGAAAAAACACAAGGUGCGCGGAAAAAGCAGAGCGAUCGCGGCACGUCGUGGAAGAUAUCGCGCCUCUGCAGCGGCGUUAGGAGCCGAGGCUGAAAACAAAGGCGGAAUCAUGGCAAACGACGAGACGCUGCGCUCGCUAAUGUUUACGCUCAGUUACGUGCUGAUGAAGCGACGGCGUGACGUCACCAGCGCAGACGCGCAGCGCAGACGCGAGGUUCAGCGGCGCGUCGCGCACAGACAGUAUUUCCAGCAGAGACACAAGAGGAUGAUCAUGAUGAUGAUGGCUCAGGCGUCUCGUCCGAUCGGAGCUCCUCCGGCUCGACCCACGCGGGUCUGGAGCAGCAUCGAGAGCACCGAUUGGUGGGAGCGGGUGGUGAUGAGGGAGUUCCAGCCCUCUGAUUGGCUGGAGAAGUUCCGUAUGACCAAAGAGACGUUCUUCCUGUUGUGUGGGAAGCUGAAGCCGCGGCUGAGCCGGCAGGACACCCGUCUGCGUCCGGCGCUGCCGCUGGAGAAGCGUGUGGCCGUGGCUCUGUGGCGGCUGGCCUCUAAUGUGGAGUACCGCACCAUCAGCGCUCUGUUCGGCGUGGGCCGCUCCACGGUCUGUAAGUGUGUGCGAGACGUGUGUCACGCCAUCGUUCUGCUGCUCCGGCCUCUGUACCUGCGCUCCCCGAGCGAGCAGGAGCUGGAGGACUCUGCCCGGCUCUUCGCCUCUCGCUGGGGCUUCCCUCACUGCGUGGGAGCUCUGGCCAGCCUCCACGUGCCCAUCAUCGCGCCGUCCAGCAACACGCACAGCUACUGGAACAGCCGGGGCUGGCUGUCGGUGGUCACUCAGGGAGCGGUCAACGGGCUGGGUCAGUUCUGGGACGUGUGCGCCGGGUUCCCGGGCAGCACCGAGCACGCCGAGCUGCUGCAGAACUCCACGCUCUGGGCUCGAGGCUGCGAGGGCUUCCUUCGGCACGAGCCCGAGCGCCGCUUCAUGGGCCGCCCGCUGGGCUUCCUGAUGCUGGGCGACGCCGGCUACCCGCUGAAGAGCUGGCUGCUGAAGAGCUUCCCGGAGUCCGGCGCGCUGACCGAGGCCCAGAGAGCCUUCAACCGGCGUCUGGAGCGCGCUCGAGGGGUGGUGGACGAGGCCUUCCUCCGGCUCCGGGCGCGCUGGCAGUGUCUGCUGAAGAGGAACGACUGCCGCAUGGAUGUGGUGCCCACCAUGAUCCUGGCCUGCUGCGUGCUGCACAACGUCUGCGAGGUGCACGGGGACGAGUUCGACGAGCGCUGGGAGGAAGCCGUCCGGCACGAGGAGAGCCCGCAGCCCGCUGACGAGGUGUCGCCCGCCGCCGAUGACCGCCACGGAGAGGAAGUCCGAGCGCUCUUCUAGACUGCUCCUCAUCGGUCAGCAUGCUGCAUCCGCUCAUGAUCUGCAUGGUCAUCGUCAACACCUCCAUGUCCAUCAUCUUCUGGACGCUCUUGAUGUCCGAAGUCUUCUUCAAAGAGGCAGAGACGGAGGAGGCCAGGGCUGCGGCGGCCGUGUCUCCGGCGUAAACUCGUUAGUAUGUAGAUCUCGUUACUCUGUCGCUGCUUCGUAGAGCUUCUCUGAUCAGACGCACAGAGAGAUUUCCUUCAUUAGAAGCUUUAUUCUGCAACAAACUCAUCGUUUGGGAGCUAUGGAGCGCUUUCUUAUUUACAGGUAAGAGAAAAACAAUGUUUCAAUGCAUUACAAUUUGUCUUCUUUUGCUUAUCAAUAUUGUACGAAUAGAUUAAGAUCUUUAGAUUAAAUAUUGCUUUAAGAAAUUAUUUAUCUGGUAUUGUGUCAUUUCAUUUGACAGAGUUUCUGUUGAACUUGAGAAAUCAGAGCCAUACAGUUUAUGAAUAAUCAGAUUAAGUCAAUAAAUAUGGCUUCUCGAGAGUCGUCUUAAACACGUGCUGAUUCACACGUCAUUAACCGUUAAGCACCACAUUAUAACAAGAGGAAGACAUUCAGAACUCAUGUAUCUCUCCGUUAUAUUCAGACUGUUUCAGGUGUAUUUAAGUAUUUUCUCAAAUACAUUAAGUAUUUUUUUUUAUCAUUUCUUGGCAUCACACUAACGCUGCUGUUCCUAAGAGCUGCUGGUCAGUUUUCCUCACACACCUGAUUCAGCUCAUUACAGACACUGAUCUGCUGGAGGUCCAGGAGGGGUUCGGAAACAGUGCAUUAUGGGAUGUGUUGCAGAAUGCUCAUUACAUAAACUGUUGGAUUAGUUUUGGAGAUGCAUAUGACAGCGUUUUGGAAUGCGAUCAGUGGAUUACAGCAGAAGAGCGUACUGCACAGAUUCAGUCCAUCUCUGUGUGUUAGAGACUCCUGUCCAAAGCCAGCAUGCUGCACCCGCUCAUGUUCAUGAUCGUCGUCUUUAACACCGGCAUGACCAUCGUGGAGUGGACCUUUCUCAUGCACGAGACCAUGAGGUUAAACUCGGAGAAUCCAGAUGAAGUUUAUCCGUCCGAGUAGAAGCAGUGGAGCGGCUCGUUAGCAUGAGGAGUUUAGUCUUAGAUCAUUUGCACCAUGAAAUGAAGUUUCGAGGUAAGACUUCCAGGUCUCAGAUCCAUUGGUACAUUACAGUAGAAUCUGUCAGUGAAGGGUUUCUGUGAUCGUGUGGUCGACUUAUUCUGGAUUGGAUGGGAAUCUCUGGUAAUCUUGGGAAUGUUCUGUCUGCUGGUAAUUCAGGAUUUGAUUAAAACAGACUUAAUCUUCUCAUUCUCUGCGGCUCAAUCAUUCCCCUGUAAUCCAGGCAGAUAUGGUUUGUUAUUAGAAAACGUUCAAAUCUUCUUUACCUUCAGUAUGUCGUGGGCUUUUAAAUUAAGAACUCUGCCCUAUAUGUUUCUUUCUCGUGAACGGUGAGAUGAGUUGGGUCAGGAGACAUGGACUUGUCAGGAGAGUGGCUCUCGAGGGGCCGGGUUCCUCAGCGUUUGCUUCGGUCUCACAGGUCAGACUCGUCUCCGUUCCUGGAGUACAGGCCCCCGGCGCGAGACUCUGUCUCUGUUCCUCCACAUGUUCUGUACGUCUCUGUGGGUCUGCUGCUGGUCAUUCUGGCCACGUAUGCCAUCGUGGGUCACCUGAUCGAUGACCUGCUCCAUGACCUGGCAGGUACCGUCAGCGGCCGGUGUUCCCCGGUGUUCUCUGAUGUUCCCCGGUGUUCUCCAGUGUUCUCCCAGUGUUUAACAGACUGGGUCUUUGGUCCCAAACCCGAAGCCGGUGAAGCUGAGAGCGGGCGUGAAGAAGAGCGUGUCGGUCUGGAGGAAGAGCGAGCCGGUCUGCUGCCGGGAUUCACAGAGACCCAUCAUCUCACAGGAUCCGG